Molecule: ribosomal RNA, 1244 nt
Filed under: metagenome
Description: bacterial LSU rRNA
Rfam family: Bacterial large subunit ribosomal RNA
Source: RNAcentral
UGAAUACGAGACGCUAAGGCGUCGAAGUAGUGUAUGUCAUACUUCCAAGAAAAGCUUGCACUGUCAUAGAUAAAAAACGCCUGUACCAUAACCGACACAGGUGGGUAGGUAGAGUAUACUAAGGGGCGCGAGAUAACUCUCUCUAAGGAACUCGGCAAAAUAACUCCGUAACUUCGGGAGAAGGAGUGCCUUAUUCGUAAGGUUGCAAUAACAAGAUCCAAGCAACUGUUUAUCAAAAACACAGGUCUCCGCUAAGUCGUAAGACGAUGUAUGGGGGCUGACGCCUGCCCAGUGCCAGAAGGUUAAAGAAGUUGGUUAGCAAUUGCGAAGCUGAUAACUGAAGCCCUGGUGAACGGCGGCCGUAACUAUAACGGUCCUAAGGUAGCGAAAUUCCUUGUCGGGUAAGUUCCGACCCGCACGAAAGGCGUAAUGAUUUGGAUACUGUCUCGGAGAGGGGCUCGGUGAAAUAGACUUGUCUGUGAAGAUGCGGACUACCUGCACCAGGACAGAAAGACCCUAUGAAGCUUUACUGUAACUUGAAAUUGAAAUUGGACUUUAUUCGCGCAGUAUAGGUGGGAGGCGUUGAUUAUAAUCUUGUGGGAUUAUUGGAGCCAUCAGUGAGAUACCACUCUUGUAAUGUUAGAUUUCUAACUUUGAAUCAUUAUCUGGUCAAAGAACAGUUUCAGGCGGGCAGUUUGACUGGGGCGGUCGCCUCCUAAACGGUAACGGAGGCGUACAAAGGUUUCCUCUGAACGGUUAGAAAUCGUAUCUAGAGUGUAAAGGCAUAAGGAAGCUUGACUGUGAGACCUACAAGUCGAGCAGGGACGAAAGUCGGUCUUAGUGAUCUGACGGUACUGAGUGGAAAGGCCGUCACUCAACGGAUAAAAGUUACUCUAAGGAUAACAGGCUGAUCUCCCCCAAGAGUUCACAUCGACGGGGAGGUUUGGCACCUGGAUGUCGGCUCAUCGCAUCCUGGGGCGGUAGUACGUCCCAAGGGUUGGGCUGUUCGCCCAUGAAAGCGGUAUGCGAGCUGGGUUCAGAACGUCGUGAGACAGUUCGGUCCAUAUCCGGUGUAGGCGUUAGAAUAUUGAGAGGAGCCUUCUUUAGUACGAGAGGACCGAGAAGGACAUACCUCUGGUGUACCAGUUAUCGUGCCAACGGUAAACGCUGGGUAGCUAUGUAUGGAGUGGAUAACCGCUGAAAGCAUCUAAGUGGGAAGCCCACCUCAAGAUAAGUAUUCUCAU